AUGAACAUUCAGAAAAACAAAAGAGCUUAUAUGCAGAUAGUGUAUGGAGCAAGGACGACGACUCACGGCUUGGAUGAUCUUCUCCAGAGCGCCGGGGCCGUGCGUCUCGAUGAAGCGCUCGACGGACUUGCGCGCGUCGAGGCUCAUCAUCUGCAGCACCUUCCUCUGCCUCUCGCUGUAGCCGGGGCUCACGUACUGCCCGAUCUUGAAGUAGCGCCGGACGUGCGUCUCGUAGAUGUAGGCCGCGCCGUUGAAGAUCGGCAGCACCAGCCAGCAGCAGAAGAGGAGCUUCAUGUAUGGCCACAGAGGGAGCCUGAAACAUACGUACAUAUAUACAUAGGCAGAGCGAAAUCUUGA
RNAcentral lists this ribosomal RNA (357 nucleotides) under Triticum aestivum (bread wheat). RNAcentral describes it as "partial small subunit ribosomal RNA". The record is from RNAcentral. Lineage: Eukaryota; Viridiplantae; Streptophyta; Magnoliopsida; Poales; Poaceae.